CAAGAUUUCAAGAAAACUAGCCUAAAACCCAAAUUGGGUAACAGAGAUCUUUGCGCGCGCGAGAGAGACAGAGAGACCGAGUGACCUGAAAAAAGGAUUUCAAUUUCUGUGAAUAGGCCAAGUGCGAGCCCAUAAUUUUUGUUGGGCACUGUCAGAUUAUUCUGAUUGAUUUGAUUCUGCACAAGACCCAUUUGACUCGCAAGCUUCCGCCUUUCAGGGUUUAUUUGGGAAGUUAGCUUUGGGGUUUCUUAUAUUGAAUGCCUGUUUCCAUUCUGAUCCUUUUACAGGUCUGGAAAUGUUCUGUGAUUUGAUCAUUGAUUUAUUUGUUUGAUUAUCCAACACUGUCACUCAAAGGUUAGAUGCUAAAGUAUUUAACAGUCUUGGACAUCAUUUUACAGAUUUCAAUUUCAAUAUCUACGUCACUAUUUGUGCCUGGUAUCUGCUAAAUGCAUAUAUCAAACUAGUUUAGUGUUGUGUAAUAUAAUGUUCAUGAUGUUUAGUUUUCU
Molecule: long non-coding RNA, 506 nt
Organism: Rosa chinensis
Lineage: Eukaryota; Viridiplantae; Streptophyta; Magnoliopsida; Rosales; Rosaceae
Exons: 3
Source: RefSeq, a predicted model, not a curated record